GUCUAAGGUCAUAUCUCCCUGAACGCACCCAAUCUUGUCUGGUCUCGAAAGCUAAGCAGGGUCAGGCCUGGUUAGUAUUUGGAUGGAAGACAGAUCUUCAGAAGAGUCUGCUCAGAGACAAGCAGUUUAGAGA
Molecule: ribosomal RNA, 133 nt
Filed under: Castor canadensis (American beaver)
Lineage: Eukaryota; Metazoa; Chordata; Mammalia; Rodentia; Castoridae
Source: RNAcentral